RNAcentral lists this ribosomal RNA (254 nucleotides) under uncultured bacterium. RNAcentral's name for it is "partial 16S ribosomal RNA". It matches the Rfam family "Bacterial small subunit ribosomal RNA", at positions 524 to 776 of the family's 1533-position model. The record is from RNAcentral.
UACAGAGGGUGCGAGCGUUGUUCGGAAUUAUUGGGCGUAAAGCGCGUGUAGGCGGUGAUGCAUGUCGGUUGUGAAAGCCCGGGGCUCAACCCCGGAGAGUCGACCGAUACUGGCAGACUAGAGUACAGAAGAGGUAGCUGGAAUUCCUGGUGUAGCGGUGAAAUGCGUAGAUAUCUGGAGGAACACCGGUGGCGAAGGCGGCAUCCUGGACCAACACUGACGCUGAGGGAGCGAAAGCCAGGGGAGCAAACGGG